RNAcentral lists this transfer RNA (79 nucleotides) under Fusarium mangiferae. It matches the Rfam family "tRNA". From Rfam's summary of the family: Transfer RNA (tRNA) molecules are approximately 80 nucleotides in length. Their secondary structure includes four short double-helical elements and three loops (D, anti-codon, and T loops). Further hydrogen bonds mediate the characteristic L-shaped molecular structure. tRNAs have two regions of fundamental functional importance: the anti-codon, which is responsible for specific mRNA codon recognition, and the 3' end, to which the tRNAs corresponding amino acid is attached (by aminoacyl-tRNA synthetases). tRNAs cope with the degeneracy of the genetic code in two manners: having more than one tRNA (with a specific anti-codon) for a particular amino acid; and 'wobble' base-pairing, i.e. permitting non-standard base-pairing at the 3rd anti-codon position. RNAcentral also lists the same sequence under 2 other names. The record is from RNAcentral. Lineage: Eukaryota; Fungi; Ascomycota; Sordariomycetes; Hypocreales; Nectriaceae.
AGCAAUUUGGCGCAGUGGAAGCGCGGUAUGUUUACCACUCAUAACCCGGAGGUCGCACGAUCGAAACGUGCAAUUGCUA